RNAcentral lists this transfer RNA (64 nucleotides) under Poecilimon cretensis. RNAcentral's name for it is "tRNA-His". Lineage: Eukaryota; Metazoa; Arthropoda; Insecta; Orthoptera; Tettigoniidae. The record is from RNAcentral.
AUUUAAGUAGUUUAUAAAAAUGUUGAUUUGUGGUGUCAGUGAUGUAGAAAUUCUACCUUAAGUU